Molecule: long non-coding RNA, 6307 nt
Organism: Brienomyrus brachyistius
Lineage: Eukaryota; Metazoa; Chordata; Actinopteri; Osteoglossiformes; Mormyridae
Exons: 3
Source: RefSeq, a predicted model, not a curated record
GUGGUUGUAUGCAUGCCUGACAAUGUCGGGGCAUGGUCCUAAUGAGACCAUGGAUGAUGUCCUGGGGGAUCUCCUCUCACAUCUGGACCAGGGUAUCACUGAGCUUCUGGACAGUCUGAGGUGCAACCUGGUGGCAUCGAAUGGACGAAACAUAAUGUCCGUGGGGGGCAGUCAAUGGUAUCAAUUCCUUCAUCCUCCAGGAACUGCCUAUAUGCUCUUGCCACAUUGUCGUGCACCAGGAGGAACCCAGGACCCACCGCAUCAGCAUAGGGUCUGACAAUGGGUUCAAGAAUUUCAUCCUGAUAUCUAAUGGCAGUCAAGGUGCCGUUGUCUAGCCUGUAGAGGUCUGUGCGUCCCUCCAUGGAUAUGCCUCCCCAGACCAUCACUGACCCACCACCAAACCGGUCAUGCUGAACAAUGCUGCAGGCAGCAUAACGUUCUCCAUGGCUUCUCCAGACCCUUUCACGUCUGUCACAUGUGCUCAGGGUGAACCUGCUCUCAUCUGUGAAAAGCACAGGGCACCAGUAGCAGACCUGCAAAUUCUGGUAAUCUAUGGCAAAUGCCAAUCGAGCUCCAUGGUGCUGGGCAGUGAGCACAGGGUCCACUAGAGGACGUUGGGCCCUCAAGCCACCCUCAUGAAGUCUGUCUCUGACCAAACAAUCAGAAACAUUCACACCAGUGGCCUGAUGGAGGUCAUUUUGUAGGGCUCCAGCAGUGUUCAUCCUGUUCCUCCUUGCACAAAGGAGCAGAUACCGGUCCUGCUGAUGGGUUAAGGACCUUCUAUGGCCCUGUUCAGCUCUCCUUGAAUAACUGCCUGUCUCCUGGAAUCUCCUCCAUGCCCUUGAGACUGUGCUGGGAGACACAGCAAACCUUCUGGCAAUGGCACGUAUUGAUGCGCCAUCCUGGAGGAGUUGGACUACCUGUGCAACCUCUGUAGGGUCCAGGUAUCGCCUCAUGCUACCAGUAGUGACACUGACCGUCGCCAAAUGCAAAACUAGUGAAAAAACCGUCAGAAAAGAUGAGGAGGGAAAAAUGCCAGUGGCCUCCACCUGUUAAACCAUUCCUGGUUUGGGGGUCGUCUCAUUGUUGCCCCUCUAUUUCACCUGUUGAUAAUUUCAUUAACACUAAAGCGGCUGAAACUGAUUAACAACCCCCUCCGCUACUUAACUGACCUGGUCAAUAUCCCAGAAGUUUAAUAGACUUGAUGCUAUACUCUGAUUAAAAAGUGUUCCUUCAAUUUUUUUAAGCAGUAUAUAUUAAUACAUAGAUAUGAAUGUCCAUACAUUCACGGACACACUUUCAUACAUAUCUGUAAUGACUGAAACAUACAAUACAUGAAUCAAACAGUAAUAAUAAUAAUUAAUUAAAAUAACAGCAAAAAAGUAGGGGGGCGGUGGGCAUUGAGGUAGCUUUUAUUCACAAAAUAGUUUGCUGCAAACAUACAUCCAUCCAUCCAUUUUCCAAACCGCUUAUCCUACUGGGUCGCAGGGGGUCCGGAGCCUAUCCCGGAAGCAAUAGGCAAAAGGUAGGGAACAACCCAGGAUGGGGGGCCAACCCAUCACAGGGCACAUUCACAUACCAGUCGGGCAAUUUAGCAACUCCAAUUAGCCUCAGCAUGUUUUUGGACUGUGGGGGAAACCAGAGUACCCGGAGAAAAUCCCACGACGACAUGGGGAGAACAUGCAAACUCCACACACAUGUGACCCAGGCGGAGACUUGAACCCGGGUCCCAGAGGUGUGAGGCAACAGUGCUAACCACUGCACCACCAUGCCGCCCCCAGCAAACAUACAAACAACCAGAAUUCUAGAAAAGUUCUUUAUAUUUGAAUGAAAUAACAAAUAAAACACUUUCAAAUCACAUGAGCCUAUAUUUUAUUCACAACAGAACAUAGAUGAUAUUACAAAUGUUCAAAGGCCGAAGACCUGUAUUGGAUGCCCGUGGUCUUCGGGCCCUCAGACGACUCUGCAUCACUCAUCGGCAUGAUUGUGUCAAUGACAUUACUAAAUGGGCCCAGGAAUACUUCCAGAAAGCACAGUCGGUAAACACAAUCCGCCGUGCCAUCUGCAGAUGCCAGCUAAAGCUCUAUCAUGCAAAAAGGAAUCCAUGUCUGAACAUGGUCCAGAAGCGCCGUCGUGUCCUGUGGGCCAAGACUCAUUUGAAAUGGACUGUUUCAAAGUGGGAAAGUGUUCUGUGGUCAGAGUCCAAAUGUGACAUUCUUGUUGGUAAUCAAGGGCACCGUGUCCUCCGGGCUAAAGAGGAGGGAGACCUUCCAGCGUGUUAUCAGCGUUCAGUUCAAAAGCCAGCAUCUCUGAUGGUAUGGGGGUGCAUAAGUGCAUACGGUAUGGGCAACUUGCAUGUUUUGGAAGGAACUAUGAAUGCUGAAAGGUAUAUAAAGGUUUUAGAGCAACACAUGCUCCCCUCCAGAGGACGUCUGUUUCAGGGAAGGCCUGGUGUAUUUCAGCAGGACAAUGCAAAACCACAUACUGCAGCUAUUACAAGCACAUGGCUUCGUCGGAGAAGAGCCCGGGUGCUGAAUUGGCCUGUCUGCAGUCCAGAUCUUUCACCUAUAGAGAACAUACAGUAAUUAUCUGUGACACCCAUGGUGCACUGUGAGCAGGUAUACAGGCCCACAGAGCAUGCAGAUAAUUAUCUGUGACACCCAUUGUACACUGUGAGCAGGUAUACAGGCCAACAGAGCAUGCAGAUAAUUAUCUGCGACACCCAUUGUACACUGUGAGCAGGUAUGCAGGCCAACAGAGCAUGCAGAUAAUUAUCUGUGACACCCAUGGUGCACUGUGAGCAGGUAUACAGGCCCACAGAGCAUGCAGAUAAUUAUCUGCGACACCCAUUGUACACUGUGAGCAGGUAUACAGGCCAACAGAGCAUGCAGAUAAUUAUCUGUGACACCCAUGGUGCACUGUGAGCAGGUAUACAGGCCAACAGAGCAUGCAGAUAAUUAUCUGUGACACCCAUUGUACACUGUGAGCAGGUAUACAGGCCCACAGAGCAUGCAGAUAAUUAUCUGCGACACCCAUUGUACACUGUGAGCAGGUAUACAGGCCAACAGAGCAUGCAGAUAAUUACCUGUGACACCCAUUGUACACUGUGAGCAGGUAUACAGGCCCACAGAGCAUGCAGAUAAUUAUCUGUGACACCCAUUGUACACUGUGAGCAGGUAUACAGGCCAACAGAGCAUGCAGAUAAUUAUCUGUGACACCCAUGGUGCACUGUGAGCAGGUAUACAGGCCAACAGAGCAUGCAGAUAAUUAUCUGUGACACCCAUGGUGCACUGUGAGCAGGUAUACAGGCCCACAGAGCAUGCAGAUAAUUAUCUUUGACACCCAUGGUGCACUGUGAGCAGGUAUACAGGCCCACAGAGCAUGCAGAAAAUUAUCUGUGACACCCCUUGUACACUGUGAGCAGGUAUACAGGCCCACAGAGCAUGCAGAUAAUUAUCUGUGACACCCACGGUGCACUGUGAGCAGGUAUACAGGCCCACAGAGUAUGCAGAUAAUUAUCUGUGACACCCCUUGUACACUGUGAGCAGGUAUCAGUACUGACUACUUUUUAUAUUGAGUCACAUGUUUUAUGUGAAUUACUUUGUACUGAACUGAAGGCCAGUAUUUGUCACUGUGAAUAUGUUGUUGCAGACGUCCAUCCAGAAAUCAGAGCUGGGGGAAAAGAUAAGGUCCUUAUUCCAGUUAAUUUUUGGUACAAAUAUCAAUGUGUCUGUCGCAGAUGGAGGAUUAUAUAUUCUAGAGGUUUCUUUUUAUUUUUAAGUUGCAGAAUGUUGUCUCAUCUGAGGAGGAUUCAGUGUAUUAUGUGUGAGGUCCAUUUUGGUUCUGAUGCUAGAUUCAGUUAGUAAAUAUUAGAAAAAUUGCAUAUUCUCAACUCGCAUUUAUGGAUUAAGUCUUUGAAUGUCAUGAAAUGACUGUUACUGAAAAGGAGGUGGAGAUGUGUAAUCCCUUUCUGUCCCCGUGAGUGAUAGUGAAUGGUGAUAUUGUGAAGUAGGAAGUCCAGAUUAUUCCAGAUUGGCGUGUAUUUACAGGGUCUGAGAGUACAGUUAGUGAUUUUAAUGACUUUCCACUGGGCUGUCAGUGCUGUGGAAAUGGCAGCACUGUGUUGUUAAAGCAGUUUUGUUUUGCUAAGAAGUAAUUAAGAAAAAUGAGCUUGUAAUCCACCUUGAGAUUUACUUUUCUGUAAUGUGGAAUGUUUGAUUUUGUGUUUUUGUUUUUCCAGCAAAAAUGUGACAUUAAUGAGUUUGAAAGAAUUUUUCUGAAAUUAUUCUGGACGAGUAAUUUUAUUUUUAUUGAUUCAAGUGGGAGACUCAUCUAUUGUUUUGAAUAAGGGGGUGUAGUUGAGGGUAACCAAGUCAGACAGCCUGUGGGAGAUGUAGAUACCCAAGUACCGGAUAUUUCCAGUGUGAAAUGGACCAUCCUGAUCAGCUGAAUCCCAGGCAUCGUCAGACAGUGAGAAUAUUAUGUGUUUUUUUCCAGUUUAUUGUGUAGUUUGAUAUGUUUUGAAAAGGUAUUAAUAAAAUUAAAAUUUCAUAUAUUGAGGGUUUCAUAAAAACAGCAAGAUAUCAUCUGCAUAGAGACUAAUUUUGUGUUGACUUAUUAGUAUGAAUUCUAUUUAUUUCACUGUUCUGUCGUAUUGCUGCCACAAUUGUUUCUAUGAAGAUGGCAAACAGUGAAGGAGAGAGUGGGCAUGCAGGCCGUCUUCCCCGUCGGAGUGUGAAUGCAGGUGAUGUCAUCCCAUCUGUGACACUGUAGCUUUGGCUGAGGUGUACAGUAUUUUAACCCAGUGGGUGAACGACUCUCCGAAGCCAAAUCUAUGCAAUAUAUUAAAGAAGAAUGUCCAACUGACUGUCAGAUGUCGUUUCUGCAUCUAAUGAUGUAAUCGUGGUUUUAGUGUGGGUAUGCUGAGCAGUACUGACUAAAUUAAAUAAUCUAUGGAUGUUGUCCGAGGCAUGUCUUGUCUUGAUGAAAUCUGUCUGAUCAGGAUGGAUUAUAGUAGGAAUGACUGUCUGUAACUGAGUGGCGAGAGCUUUUGUAAUGAUUUUCAAGUCUGUAUUCAUUAGUGAGAGUGGCGGGUAACUGGAGGGUUGUGUUGGGUCUGUAGGGAGCCGCCCACUGGCCCAAUGGCGGAAUCCAAUGGCGCAGCCGAAGGCUGAGAAUGCGUGUCGGUCCUUCCAAGCGCUCCUGGGAAUUACUUACCCUUUUUAAUAUACAAAAUAUUCUUUUAGACACAUAUCUGACUCCAUUUUAUUAAUGACCUUAUUUCAGUAUAUUGUAGUCAUGACGUUUAUGUUGUUCAGAUUACUUCGAGACUCUCCUUUAGAUUACCAACUCUAGUUUUACCCCUGACGAAGGAGUCCGCCAGAUUCGCCUCGGCCGACAGGGCGGUCUGUGGGCUUGUUCCACAGGGUUUGUCCUAAAGGUACAGAAAUCGCCACCAUUUAAGACAAUGUCAGCCUCUGAUUAUUCGGGUCCCUCGACCUAUAUAAUUCCCCAAAGGCUCAGUGUCUGCCAAUUACUGAGCAUGUGGGUGCCUCGGAGAUUAAGCCGAUGUUUACCCGAACCACACGUACGUCCACCUCAGAGGCUCAGCCGGGGGCAGCCCAUAUCAUAACAUGUGUCAACCUCAGCGGCAGUGAAGGCGCACCUUUUGUUGCGGUAGUUUGUACGAGGUUUACUUUUGGCUCGUCUCAGGGACUCCGCCGAUGCCGCCCAUUGUCUUACCAUGUGAAUGUCUCAGAGACUAUGCCCGGUGCCUAGGAACAUAGUGUGUACGCCGGCCCGUAACUGAGCGUGUGUGAACUCCAGAGGUGUGGUUCUGGUAUCCACCUAACUUAACUUGGGCAGUCGAGUUUGGGACCCGGAUAAAGGGGAUUUAACCCAGAGGCUACAAGAUAGUAUUUACCACUUUUGUCCUAAUAAGGAUAGAAGUCCAAUCUGGAAAGUUUAUAAAGAAGUUAGCAAAUCAGACAGCCAUAAAAUAAUCGAAACAACAUUUAUUAAACAUACUACAAUAUACAAUUAUUGACAUGUGGCCACAUACUUGUAAAUAUAAUUUGACAAAUACAAUAUUAAACCAUCCCAUACCUCAGCGGAGAGUGCACAAAGUUCUGCGGAAAGCAUCUGACUACAGAUGGACUUUCGCACAGUUCUCUGUGGGAGCUCUGAUUACAGAGUGACUCCCCGACUUCUUCUGAGACCCUUCCUUAAGUAUCCAACCCAGGUGAUGGCAUGUCUCUGAAGACUGACCAGUUUCGGUCAAUGGUUAAUUUUAGGGGCAUUGCUGGAC